CGCGGGGUGGAGCAGCCUGGUAGCUCGUCGGGCUCAUAACCCGAAGGUCGCGGUUCAAAUCCGGCCCCCGCAACCA
RNAcentral lists this transfer RNA (76 nucleotides) under Escherichia coli. RNAcentral's name for it is "tRNA-Met". It matches the Rfam family "tRNA". From Rfam's summary of the family: Transfer RNA (tRNA) molecules are approximately 80 nucleotides in length. Their secondary structure includes four short double-helical elements and three loops (D, anti-codon, and T loops). The record is from RNAcentral. RNAcentral also lists the same sequence under 2 other names. Lineage: Bacteria; Pseudomonadati; Pseudomonadota; Gammaproteobacteria; Enterobacterales; Enterobacteriaceae.